AAGAAAUCUCAAGAUUUUUGGAUGUUUGGCAUAUGCACAUGUGCCAGAUCAACUGAGAAAGAAGUUGGAUGAUAACGGUGAUAAGUGUAUAUUCAUUGGUUAUAGUGAUGCUUCAAAGGCUUAUAAACUAUACAACCCUGAAACUAAAAAGGUUGUUAUAAGUCGUGAUGUCACUUUUGAUGAAUAUGGUGCUUGGGAUUGGUCAGCUAAAGAUGAAAGAUUGUAACCCUCUAUCCGUUGAGGAGGCUGCUACAAAAACUCAUUGGCUUAAGGCGAUGGAUGAGGAGAUCUGUGCCAUUGAAAAGAAUGGUACAUGGGAGUCAAUAGAUUUACCACCUGGAAAGAAGCCAAUUGGAGUAAAGUGGGUCUACAGAACGAAGUACAAAUCAAAUGGAGAAAUUGACUGUUUUAAAGCACGGUUGGUAGCAAAGGGCUACAAGUAGAAACCAGGGUUUGUGAAGAAAGGGGAAGAAAAUAAAGUGUACAGGUUGAGAAAAGCUUUAUAUGGCGGCUUAAAGCAGGCGCCUAGAGCAUGG
Ipomoea triloba (trilobed morning glory) is the source of this 536-nucleotide long non-coding RNA. RefSeq lists it as uncharacterized. NCBI's taxonomy places the organism in Eukaryota, Viridiplantae, Streptophyta, Magnoliopsida, Solanales, Convolvulaceae. The transcript has 3 exons. The record is from RefSeq and is a predicted model, not a curated record.